This 492-nucleotide ribosomal RNA is filed under the name uncultured bacterium. RNAcentral describes it as "partial 16S ribosomal RNA". It matches the Rfam family "Bacterial small subunit ribosomal RNA", at positions 29 to 507 of the family's 1533-position model. The record is from RNAcentral.
AGUGAACGCUGGCGGUAGGCCUAACACAUGCAAGUCGAACGGCAGCACAGUAAGAGCUUGCUCUUACGGGUGGCGAGUGGCGGACGGGUGAGGAAUACAUCGGAAUCUACUUUUUCGUGGGGGGUAACGUAGGGAAACUUACGCUAAUACCGCAUACGACCUACGGGUGAAAGCAGGGGAUCUUCGGACCUUGCGCGAUUGAAUGAGCCGAUGUCGGAUUAGCUAGUUGGCGGGGUAAAGGCCCACCAAGGCGACGAUCCGUAGCUGGUCUGAGAGGAUGAUCAGCCACACUGGAACUGAGACACGGUCCAGACUCCUACGGGAGGCAGCAGUGGGGAAUAUUGGACAAUGGGCGCAAGCCUGAUCCAGCCAUACCGCGUGGGUGAAGAAGGCCUUCGGGUUGUAAAGCCCUUUUGUUGGGGAAGAAAAGCAGCAGGUUAAUACCCCGCUGUUCUGACGGUACCAAAAGAAUAAGCACCGGCUAACUUCGUG